This 4098-nucleotide long non-coding RNA is filed under the name Homo sapiens (human). Its description in RNAcentral is "HSALNT0022887". The record is from RNAcentral. Lineage: Eukaryota; Metazoa; Chordata; Mammalia; Primates; Hominidae.
ACUCUGUUGCCCAGGCUGGAGUGCAGUGGCGCAAUCUCGGCUCACUGCAACCUCUGCCUCCUGGGUUCAAGCAAUUCUCAUGCCUCAGACUCCUGAGUAGCUAGGACUACAGGCGUGCACCGCCAUGCACGGCUAAAUUUUUUUUUUUUUUUUUUUUUUUUUUAGUAGAGACAAGGUUUCACCAUGUUGGCCAGGCUGGUCUUGAACUCCUGACCUCAAGUGAUCCUCCUGCUUUGGCCUCCCAAAGUGCUGGGAUUACAGGCAUGAGCCACCAUGCCCGGCUGUUGAUUCUCCUUUUUAAAGGCAAGGACGUGGUGACAAAGAGAGGCAAAGCUAUGAUUCUAUUUAAAGGAUCAUUACUGUGAUUUUGAACAAUUUAAGAUUACACUGGGGAUGAGACUUUACUAGUUUAAAUGCUAUUUUUCAUGCAUAUAAUUGAAAGGAACCAAGCUUAGGCUGUCAGAGGAGAUGAGAGAGUGAUUUGGGACCUGAGUGCUCACUUCAGGAAACUCACAGCUACAUCCUCCAUGCUUCGACUUCAAGUUCCCAGACAGGAUGCAGGAGAAGGAACUCGGCUGGUGCAGGCCUUUAGUUUGAAAAAUUUUCAAUGGUUUGAGCCAAACCAAGCACCCCAGAUUACAUGCCAGUGAUAAAACUUAACUGGAUUGUCUAAAACAGUCUAGUCUCUGGGAAAGCCUAAAGUUUUAAGACUCGGCAUGACUAUGUGUCAGAUCCUACACAGGGGACAAGGAUGUAAAGCCAAAUAAGACAUAGUCCCUGCUUCCAAAAACCAUACAAGAACUUGUUUCCUCUGAGGGGAGCAUGCACAUAAACAAAUGAAACAAUGCAGCUGUGACUAAGAUUUGUCCUGGCCCUAGGGGAGCAGAUGGGAGGGCCUCCUAAACCAGCUCAGGGGUGAGAAGGCUUGGGAUUAGGGAGAGUAUUCUGGAGGAAGGGGGCCUGAGCUGAAAUAUGCACUUGGCCCAUCUUGGAGCAUCUGUAGCUACCCAGAGUUAAGAGUAGUGAAGAGCUUGGGCUCUGAAGUCAGCUGGAACUGAGGCUGAAUCUUGGCUCUGCCAGUUAUUAGCUAUGUGACUUAGGUGAGCUACUUGUCCUCUCCAAGUCUCAGUUUUCUGAUCUUAUAGGAAGAUGAUAAUACCAACUUUUUUGGAGGUAUUGUGAUGAAUCAAAUAAUGUACGUGAAGCUCUUAGCUUCACAAGAAGUGCUCAAUUGAUGGCAAUGUUAUUGUUGUUAUAUGUUUGUCUAAGAGUCCCAUUGUUAUAGGACCAACAGGUUCAUGUGCUCCCUGUGCAGUAAUAGACCAAUACACUGAGACAGCAAUGUUUGCAGCAGAGAAAGAGUUUAAUGAUUGCAAGGCAGCCAAGAAAGGAGAUGGGAGUAGACCAUCACAUUCAUCUUCUGGAGGAUUUUUGAGCUGAGGUUUACAAGAUAAUUGUGGAGGGCAAGGGGCUGGAAAACUGGGGUUGUGGAUUGGUUGGGGUAAGGAGGAUGAAAUUAUUAGGAUGUGGAAACUGCAUUCUUUGUGAAGUCAGUUUCUCAUGGGGUCCUUCAGACCAGCUGAUGUCAGUAGUGUCACAUGGUGUGCAGGACCUAAAAGAAUAUCUCAAAUAGAAAAAUUAACAUUUCAUAAUGUUCAAGUUGUUAUCUAUAGAGCAGUGAUGGGGAACUCUAAUCUAGGCUCCAUGUGAUUCUGAGGCAAUAGGCAUCAAACAGCUCUGAGGAAGUGGGCUAGAGAGCAGGCUGGCCUCAUGAUGAAUGCUGAGUGUGCUGCAAGCUGGAUUUAUUUUCAUUUCUCUCCCCCUCUUCUUCCAUGAUUAACUUUAUAAAGUUUAUAGGGAUGGUUUCACCAUGUGAUGGCUGCUGGGCAGGAGCUCAGUCUCCUGUGUGGGCAGCCAGGGCUGUAAUUUCAGAAGAGUCAGAGUCACCAGAUCCCUCUGGAGCCCCUAAGCCCCUCCUUUAUCCUCUCUUGAUGUUAGAAUGCUAUUGACACAAGACAAAGCCUUCCAUUUUGUAAUCCCAUGAGCAUUAACCAGGAAGCCAUCCAGGAGAACACAAUUUCAGAGGAUAAAUCUGCUCCAGGCUUUUUUUUUCCUCAAAGCAGUUUCUGCAGAAACGGUGUUACUACCACGUGGGUCAUGGUGGAAGGUGGAAAGACAGGAAAAGAAUGAGGAGAAAGAAAGUUGGGGACACAGAAUCAAAAUUCCCCUGGAUUUGUCCAGUAUUUCCCCCUCUUGGGGUAAAAGAUUUCCCUGAAUCACUGGUAUUGCUUUCCUGCAAUGGACUCUAGGGUAUUGGCCAGUGACUCGCAAAUUGCAACUGAACCAAGAAGACCUCAUUUCUGGGGUGGCACUGUCCCAGUGAAGAUCCUGGUCCUGCCCAUGUCACUAUCUCUGUCAAUUCCCAGUCCUGACCUUCUGGUCUUUCAUUCUCAUACAGCCUUAAGUUGUGCCGUAACACCUCUCUCCACUUGGAGUUGAUUGCUUUUCUGUCCUUUGAGGCCAAGUGGAGUUAUAUAAAUCACCCAUUGCAGGUGAGCAGGAACAAUAUUUUACUGGAAGGGCUGACCUGUAUCCAAAUAGCCAUGUCUAAGAUGCAAAAGUGGUGGAUAAAAAUAAGCCAUGCUCAUUAGAUGGCUCCCUGCCCUAUAUAGCUGCUCAAAAACCUACGUCUUGUUCUGUCCAAGUGUAAAUAGUCUCCCUAUUUAGAAAUGGCACAGUGGGAGGUAAAUGAAUUGGCUAGGAGCAACCAGUCAUAACGCAUCACGUUGAGAAGCUUAAAAACUCUUUAUGUGAAAAAUACUAAUGCUGUGAGUUGCUAAAAGCCAGGCUGUGUGCUAGGAGCUUUACAUACAUUAUCUUAUUUAAUCCUCCCACCAACUCUGCAAGGUUCUUCUUAUUCUAUUUUACAGAUGAGGAAAGUAGGCUCAGCGAAGUUAGGUUAAGCUUGCUCAGGGUCAUGCAGAUAGUGAUAGUGAAAUUGGCAAUCAAAUAUUGGUCACUCUUGUUGGGACAAAGCCCAGUGUUCUUCUCACUGGACCUCACUGCUAGGGAUUGGCCAGGAUGGUGAGGUUAUCAGGUGCAUUUAGAGACCUGGUCUCUUAUUAUUGUCAAAUGACUCUUGGUCUGAUCCUUGGCUGAAAGGUGUUCUGCAGUGAGGCUGCUUCUAUGGAGAAUAAAGCUUGAAAUUAAAUUCCCUCUUGCCAUGGUCAUGUCCAUCCCUGGCUUCCCUGGAUCUCAGCCCGUUGGCAGGGCUCCUGUACCCUAAAUGAUGGCCCAGGUGGUAAUGACACUAUUGUACCCUGCCUGCCUCUAUGCACUGAUCUUUCCUGGAUUUCCUAAUGAGAAUGGCCAUUGGGAUUUUGAAGCAGUCCGAUAAAUAGUGCCCGUAUUCCCUGUCCAUAUUCUGAAUCAGAAAUAAGGCAGAGAGUAAGGAAGCUGUAGGCCAAAUCUCAUCUUAGUAUAAAUAAGUGCUAGAUUGGAGAAUGUAGUUUACUGCAGGAGCAAAAUGAAUUUCUGUUGCAGGGGAGUAGGAAACAAAAUCCAAGAUGAAGGUUGGCUUGCAGAGGUUUAUUAGGAGUCCUUUUGGGAUCUAUACCAAUAGGAGGGGAAGGAAUGGAAGCAGGAUUGGCAGAGGGAAAAGUCAAGCAGUGCUGCAGUCUUAUCAAAGAUCUCAACCGAUUCUGUGGAGCAUGUUGGGUCUUUAUACUUUUUUUGUUGUUGUUUUAAUCUAGUCUUCAUUUUUACUGAAGUUACCAUGAUGAAAAACUCUCAAUUGUUAUCCUAGGGUUACUACAAACAACAGAUCCUGGCUAUGACCACUGCACCAAUUGCCAGCUACUAUGAGGCAAUGACUUACAAUCCUUCUGGCUUUAAAAAAAUUAUUAACUAAAAAAAAUGCUAAUACUGCUAUAUGUGAAUAUUUUAGUUUGAAAUAGUAUCUGUUCAUAUUUUACUUUGGAAGAUGACUCUCUGACACCCUCCUAAAUUAGUUAUACCGUCUUCUUUAUUUGCAGCACUCACAGUUGUAUUUAUUACUUUUUUCAUUCACAAAUAAAAAUUUUAUACAUUUCUUGUGUA